Long non-coding RNA from Drosophila simulans, 742 nucleotides. RefSeq lists it as uncharacterized. The transcript has 3 exons. The record is from RefSeq and is a predicted model, not a curated record. Lineage: Eukaryota; Metazoa; Arthropoda; Insecta; Diptera; Drosophilidae.
AGCAAACAAAUUCUUUGGCAGAGGGGCAUUUAAAAAUAAGUAAACAAUUUCUGAAAUGUAUAUUUAUGUGUCACAAAAGCGUGGGUGUUGAAGUGUUCCGAAACAGGCCCACAAAGAGACAUUAAGAAAGUCUCGUUAACAUGCACACGAGAUUCAGUACUUAAGGAAAAGCGUCAUCCAAGGGUCAACAGGGUGCAAUUUAUCCACCUGCACUAGUCAGCAGGCAAAACCUUUUUGUUCUAACUUGCAGUCAAGGAACUAAACAAACAUUUUGUAAUGUGGAGACGUAUAUGUUGUACAAACUAUAAAAUUUGUGCUCCAUAGUGUUCAUCUGCUCGUACUUGUCGUGACGCAUUUUAUUUUUUGGCACACUUACCAUUUCUCAAUUAAAUCAAAGCAUUUUAAAGAAUUGUGGUUUUAAUGAACCCACUGCCAAUAUAUAGGAAACAUUUUACAAUUUACAUUAUAUAGACGGGUAUUCUAUUAUAAAGAAGACAUUUCAACCAACACCUAUCGUAAAGAUGCUGAACUCAAAUUGCCAUGCAAAUGGUUUAUGCUGUGGACCUUGAAUGAAGUGCAUGGUGGGAUUUCGUCAGUCAAAUCGAAUUUGUACUAAGAAGAGACCUUGCCAUUGUUGUGGCUUUUGACAACUUUCAAGUUUGUUCCAAGGCCAAAAAGCGGGAGCUCUGGAAAACCAUUGUUUUACAAUUAUUUUUCACUGCACUUUUACGAUAAUUUUAUA